ACAAUCCACAAAAUAGAAAUCACAGGUUACAUGUUCAUUGUGAAUCUGCAAAGCGGGGGCACUACUCAUUGUUGUCACUCACGGGUAGAAGAAGCCAAUGGAGGCUCGAUUUGGACAUGAACUUCCCAGGGACUAGAGAAUGCGGCGCUUAAAACUUCUGCUAAAUUAUGUGUUUCCUUUGUGCUUCCAUUUCUUUGGCCACAGCAAGUCACAUGACAUGAUAGGAAACACAACCCUCCCACAAAGCCAGUGGAGAACUGGAAUCUUUGCAAAUGGCCCUCAAGCCUGUCAUCUAUGUGCAUGGUAACAGGAGAGGGAAUUGGAAAGGUGAGUUAGGGGCUGCUUUCUGAAGUUGUGUUUGCAAAACACACAAACCAGUUUAAUAUGGUCAGGCUUUGUGUCCCUGCCCAAAUCUCAUCUUGAAUUGUAAUCCCCAGAUGUUGAGGGAGAGACCUGGUGGGAAGUGACUGAAUCAUGGGGGCAGUUGCCCCCCUGCUGUUCUCAUGAUAGUGAUGAGUUCUCAUGAGAUCUGAUGGUUUUAUAAGGCAGUUUUCCCUGCUCUUGCUAGCUCUUCUCUCUCCUGCUGCCAUGUGAAGAAGAUCCUUGCCUCCCCUUUGUCCUCCAUGAUUGUAAGUUUCCUGAGGUCUCCCCAUCCAUGUGGAACUGUGAGUCAAUAAAACCUCUUUCCUUUAUAAAUUUCCAGUCUUGGGUAGUUCUUUACAGCAGUGUGAAAAUGGACUAAUACAUAGUUUUACCUUUAUUUUGUUUCUGUGAGGUGUUUUUCAGUUGAAGGUAUUCAUGG
This 802-nucleotide long non-coding RNA is filed under the name Homo sapiens (human). Its description in RNAcentral is "HSALNT0086124". Lineage: Eukaryota; Metazoa; Chordata; Mammalia; Primates; Hominidae. The record is from RNAcentral.